RNAcentral lists this ribosomal RNA (489 nucleotides) under uncultured bacterium. RNAcentral's name for it is "bacterial SSU rRNA". It matches the Rfam family "Bacterial small subunit ribosomal RNA", at positions 44 to 507 of the family's 1533-position model. The record is from RNAcentral.
ACGUUUUAAACAUGCAAGUCGAGCGGUAACAGACAUAAAGAUUCAGCUUGCUGAAUCCGGUGCUGACGAGCGGCGAACGGGUGAGUAACGCGUAGGAAUCUACCCAGUANCCGGGGGAUAGCCCGGGGAAACUCCGGAUUAAUACCGCAUACGCCCUAUGGGGGAAAGAUGGCCUCUUCUUGAAAGCUAUCGCUAUUGGAGGAGCCUGCGUUGGAUUAGCUAGUUGGUGGGGUAAAGGCUCACCAAGGCGACGAUCCGUAGCUGGUCUGAGAGGAUGAUCAGCCACAUCGGGACUGAGACACGGCCCGAACUCCUACGGGAGGCAGCAGUGGGGAAUAUUGGACAAUGGGCGCAAGCCUGAUCCAGCCAUGCCGCGUGUGUGAAGAAGGCUCUAGGGUUGUAAAGCACUUUCAGUGGGGAGGAUAAGUUAUCGGUUAAUACCUGGUAAUGCAGACGUUACCCACAGAAGAAGCACCGGCAAACUCCGUG